RNAcentral lists this ribosomal RNA (292 nucleotides) under uncultured bacterium. Its description in RNAcentral is "partial 16S ribosomal RNA". The record is from RNAcentral.
GGACUACCGGGGUUUCUAAUCCUGUUUGAUCCCCAUGCUUUCGGGUCUCAGCGUCAAUGUUGGGCCAGUUAGCCGCCUUCGCCACCGGUGUUCCUCCAGAUAUCUACGUAUUUCACCACUACACCUGGAAUUCCACUAACCUCUCCCACAUUCAAGCUCUGCAGUAUCAAAAGCACUUCCCAAGUUAAGCUCGGGGCUUUCACUCCUGACUUAUAGAGCCGCCUACACCCGCUUUACGCCCAAUGAUUCCGAACAACGCUUGGACCCCUCGUCUUACCGCGGCUGCUGGCAC